AUGACCUACCUCAAGCAUCUACGAAGGUGCUGUGGUGAAGAUGCACGCCGCCUUUGGGCAUCUGGUAGCUGUCACUUAAAGAUGAGUUUUGACAGGUUGAAAACAGAAGAUCGUAAACUUGCAUACAUGAUAUGUAAUAACUAUGAGAGGUUAAAAGUACAUUUGGAGUCUGCCCUCAGAACAUUCUUAUUGGAAUCUUUCAAAAGUCAGAGUCCUGAGACUAUAAAGAAGAGGUUUGCAAGUGAGGAUAAAAUGAAACAAUUCAUUCAAGUCCAAACAAAACUGACAGUUAUGCAGAUGCCUUCAAGCAUAUGUUCAUUGCAUCAGCACUUCAUCAACAAUCCUGCAGGCAGAAUUGCUCAUCUGUUCCAGAACCAGGCCUAUAGCAAAGACGUCCCAACAGCAGUAAAAGAGUCAAGGAUUCUGCUUCACAAGUUAACACAACAUACCAUAGCAGAACACAAAAGAGGUUACUGUUGGGAUGGUCAAUGA
Molecule: ribosomal RNA, 492 nt
Filed under: Triticum aestivum (bread wheat)
Lineage: Eukaryota; Viridiplantae; Streptophyta; Magnoliopsida; Poales; Poaceae
Description: partial small subunit ribosomal RNA
Source: RNAcentral